UAGAAAAGGGAAAGAUUUGUCUACAGUUC
This 29-nucleotide non-coding RNA is filed under the name Mus musculus (house mouse). The record is from RNAcentral. Lineage: Eukaryota; Metazoa; Chordata; Mammalia; Rodentia; Muridae.